This 325-nucleotide ribosomal RNA is filed under the name uncultured bacterium. RNAcentral's name for it is "bacterial SSU rRNA". It matches the Rfam family "Bacterial small subunit ribosomal RNA", at positions 28 to 334 of the family's 1533-position model. The record is from RNAcentral.
GAUGAACGCUGGCGGCGUGCUUAACACAUGCAAGUCGAACGAAGCAUUUACUUACGAUCCCUUCGGGGUGACGAGUAUCUGACUUAGUGGCGGACGGGUGAGUAACGCGUGGGUAACCUGCCUUGUACUGGGGGACAACAGUUGGAAACGACUGCUAAUACCGCAUAAGCGCACAGUAUCGCAUGAUACAGUGUGAAAAACUUAGGUGGUACAAGAUGGACCCGCGUCUGAUUAGCUAGUUGGUGGGGUAACGGCCUACCAAGGCGACGAUCAGUAGCCGACUUGAGAGAGUGAUCGGCCACAUUGGGACUGAGACACGGCCCAA